AUGAUUCUCACACCAUUGUGAUGGGCGUGAACCAAGAGACGUACGAGUCAUCCAUGGAAUGCGUCUCCUGCGCCUCUUGCACCACAAAUGGGCUCGCGCCAC
RNAcentral lists this non-coding RNA (102 nucleotides) under Alexandrium tamarense. The record is from RNAcentral. Lineage: Eukaryota; Dinophyceae; Gonyaulacales; Pyrocystaceae.